RNAcentral lists this ribosomal RNA (459 nucleotides) under uncultured bacterium. Its description in RNAcentral is "partial 16S ribosomal RNA". It matches the Rfam family "Bacterial small subunit ribosomal RNA", at positions 339 to 795 of the family's 1533-position model. The record is from RNAcentral.
CUACGGGCUGCUGCAGUGAGGAAUAUUGGUCAAUGGGCGAAAGCCUGAACCAGCCAUGCCGCGUGAAGGAUGACGGCCCUAUGGGUUGUAAACUUCUUUUAUACGGGAAGAAACACCUCUACGUGUAGAGGUUUGACGGUACCGUACGAAUAAGCAUCGGCUAACUCCGUGCCAGCAGCCGCGGUAAUACGGAGGAUGCAAGCGUUAUCCGGAUUUAUUGGGGUUAAAGGGUACGUAGGCGGAAACUUAAGUCAGUAGUGAAAUCCCGCAGCUUAACUGUGGAACUGUUAUUGAUACUGGGUUUCUUGAAUAUUGUUGAGGUAGGCGGAAUAAGUAAUGUAGCGGUGAAAUGCUUAGAUAUUACUUAGAACACCGAUUGCGAAGGCAGCUUACUAAGCAAUUAUUGACGCUGAGGUACGAAAGCGUGGGGAGCGAACAGGAUUAGAUACCCUCGUAGUC